AAGACUAUACUUUCAGGGGUCAUUUCUAUAGUUUGUUACUAGAACAGGGCCUGGCAUAUAGCAGGUGCUCAAUAAAUGU
This 79-nucleotide small nucleolar RNA is filed under the name Ursus thibetanus thibetanus. RNAcentral's name for it is "Small nucleolar RNA U3 (ENSUTTG00000004549.1)". It matches the Rfam family "Small nucleolar RNA U3", at positions 1 to 79 of the family's 219-position model. Rfam says of the family: Small nucleolar RNAs (snoRNAs) are involved in the processing and modification of rRNA in the nucleolus. There are two main classes of snoRNAs: the box C/D class, and the box H/ACA class. The record is from RNAcentral. Lineage: Eukaryota; Metazoa; Chordata; Mammalia; Carnivora; Ursidae.